UACGUAGGUGGCAAGCGUUGUUCGGAAUUAUUGGGCGUAAAGGGCGCGUAGGCGGUUUGUUAAGUCGGUCGUGAAAGCCCGGGGCUCAACCCCGGAGGGUCGACCGAUACUGGCAGACUAGAGUACAGAAGAGGUAGCUGGAAUUCCCGGUGUAGCGGUGAAAUGCGUAGAUAUCAGGAGGAAUACCGGUGGUGUAGACGGCUCUCUGGACCGCGACUGACGCUGAGACACGAAAGCGUGGGUAGCAAACAGG
RNAcentral lists this ribosomal RNA (253 nucleotides) under uncultured bacterium. RNAcentral describes it as "partial 16S ribosomal RNA". It matches the Rfam family "Bacterial small subunit ribosomal RNA", at positions 524 to 776 of the family's 1533-position model. The record is from RNAcentral.